ACAACAUGUUUCGGAGGUAAAAUCUUUGGGGGCUCAGUAAUUGAUUCAACGUGGAAGAAGGAGAGAGGAAAGUUCAGAGAGCUUCCAGGUUUCCACCAGGGAGGUCGGAACAGGUUGCCUUAGAUGGUGACCGCAGGAGCCACUGCCUGAGCAAGGAAGAUGGUGCAUUCAUUUUAAAAUCGCUGUGUAGCUUAACAUUCACUGCCCGUAUUAACAUGUGUCCUGCAUUCCAUUUAUUGGAGAAAUGUUUCUUUUUCUUUAUUUUUUAAAUGAAUAUAAUUUACAAUGUAAAAGGUCAAAUAAAAUGAAAGUGAAACAGAAAAAUCCUCACUUUUCAAUAUUCCUUUCUCAUCUAAUGAAGACCCCUUCCCUUCUCUAUUUCUCCCGGCUCCCUGCCUUAGGCCUAAAGCAACAACCAGAAGCCUUCCUGGGUGUUUACAUUACAGCACACCAGACUGCAGGCACCGCCACCCCAGACUCUGCCUGCAGCUAAAGUCACCAAGUUUGCCGUGCCCCAUAACUGAGGUCAUUGGCAGCCCAGCACCAAGCCUCACUGGCAUCAAGGGCAGCGGGUUAGUAAGCAUGGCUCCACACGGGUAAGCAGUUCUAGGAAAUGGGAAGAAACCCAGACCAUCCAUCUCAGGGUAAGUUUGCUGGAUUUUCUCUCUCUUUUAAGAGUCUUUCAACAGGGCAUACAGCCCAUUCUCAAAUUUAGAUUUCUGUUUUUGUUAAGAACAGGGACUGUGGAACGAAUUUGCCUGACUUUGCCAUCAUUCUGCCAUUUCCUAGCUAUGUGGCCUCAGGCAAACUGAUUAAACUUACUGGCCUCAGAAUGGGGAAAAUUUCUGUAACUCAUGCCUGGAAUUACGUGAAGAUGAAAAGCAGGCAUGUCCAUGAGAUGCUUACAAGAGGGACCAGCGCCGUGUACCUAUUCUGUGCAUCCUACCCGUCCACUGUUCCUUCUCCGUGUUUCUUGAAGAAGCUGGAGUUUUCUUUCAGUCUUCUGCUUCUCCUGUUGCUUCCUCUAACUGAAGGAAGAAUCAGUCCAUGGCUUCUGCUCCAUGCUUUCUGCUCUUGGUUCAGGCUCCAACUUUCCCAUUAAUGGAAGAGAAUGGCUCUCCUGCUCCCAGCUGUAAUGAACUAAUUAAUUUUUCUAUCUCUCUAAUCAUUCUCUAUUCCCUGCCAAACCCUCUGGGUGUCUGUUUUGUUCUAUUGUUCAAGCCUGGACUUUGAGGGUAGGCUGGGGGCAUUGCUAGUCCCCACAAUUGCUAAUCCAGGCACUUGAGUCAUUAUCUUCUAUACAUCACACUUAACAACCAGAGGGAAGUGCAACCUCGUGGGCCUCGGAAAGGAAACCACCCACAGACUUGUGCGCCUUCUUCGCAGGCCAGGCUCUCCUUCCCCCAUGGUAAGAAGGUGAAGACUUGGAGAUUGGUGAGUCAGGCAAUCAAGGUCAAAUUGACAUACUCUAGAAGAUUACAUGCCGUGUGGAACAGUACUGGGCAGUGGACCCACUGGGACAGGGGCUCAGGAGGCUAUGGCAGUCCCGCAGGAGAUUCUGGAGUAACAGACAUCCCCAGGACCUCAGCGUUUCAUAGGAACGACAUGGCACACAUUGGUGGUGGCUGUCCUCCCAGGCAGUACCCCACAUCUUGUCUUCCGUGUUUGGGCACCCAGGCUGGAGUAGCAACCCAUCUCAGUCAAUGGCAAAGGAAGGAAUGGGAGGUUCUAAUACCAUCUCACUCAUCCUUGGACCAAGGACACCUCUCCCAUGCACUAUGCCCCAUGCCUCUCUCUCACUAUGGCCCAGUCCACGCAUGGAGGUCCCAGUUGGUGCUCAGGUUCGUAGCGCCUACACGAAUAAAUGCAGUGCUGUUUAC
Long non-coding RNA from Homo sapiens (human), 1880 nucleotides. Ensembl annotates it as long intergenic non-protein coding RNA 2102. The record is from Ensembl. Lineage: Eukaryota; Metazoa; Chordata; Mammalia; Primates; Hominidae.